UACGAAGGGGGCUAGCGUUGUUCGGAAUUACUGGGCGUAAAGCGCACGUAGGCGGAUAUUUAAGUCAGGGGUGAAAUCCCAGAGCUCAACUCUGGAACUGCCUUUGAUACUGGGUAUCUUGAGUAUGGAAGAGGUAAGUGGAAUUGCGAGUGUAGAGGUGAAAUUCGUAGAUAUUCGCAGGAACACCAGUGGCGAAGGCGGCUUACUGGUCCAUAACUGACGCUGAGGUGCGAAAGCGUGGGGAGCAAACAGGGAUUAAGAAAC
This 264-nucleotide ribosomal RNA is filed under the name uncultured bacterium. RNAcentral's name for it is "partial 16S ribosomal RNA". It matches the Rfam family "Bacterial small subunit ribosomal RNA", at positions 524 to 785 of the family's 1533-position model. The record is from RNAcentral.